This 495-nucleotide ribosomal RNA is filed under the name uncultured bacterium. RNAcentral describes it as "partial 16S ribosomal RNA". It matches the Rfam family "Bacterial small subunit ribosomal RNA", at positions 28 to 507 of the family's 1533-position model. The record is from RNAcentral.
GACGAACGCUGGCGGCGUGCCUAAUACAUGCAAGUAGAACGCUGAAGGAGGAGCUUGCUCUUCUGGAUGAGUUGCGAACGGGUGAGUAACGCGUAGGUAACCUGCCUGGUAGCGGGGGAUAACUAUUGGAAACGAUAGCUAAUACCGCAUAACAGUAGAUGUUGCAUGACAUUUACUUAAAAGGUGCAAUUGCAUCACUACCAGAUGGACCUGCGUUGUAUUAGCUAGUUGGUGGGGUAACGGCUCACCAAGGCGACGAUACAUAGCCGACCUGAGAGGGUGAGCGGCCACACUGGGACUGAGACACGGCCCAGACUCCUACGGGAGGCAGCAGUAGGGAAUCUUCGGCAAUGGACGGAAGUCUGACCGAGCAACGCCGCGUGAGUGAAGAAGGUUUUCGGAUCGUAAAGGUCUGUUGUAAGAGAAGAACGAGUGUGAGAGUGGAAAGUUCACACUGUGACGGUAUCUGACCAGAAAGGGACGGCUAACUACGUG